UACGGAGGGUGCAAGCAUUGAUCGGAAUUAUUGGGCGUAAAGGGCGCGUAGGCGGCCUGGCAAGUCAGAUGUGAAAUUCCGCGGCUCAACUGCGGAGCUGCAUUUGAAACUGCCAGACUAGAGCAUAGUUAGGGAAAACGGAAUUCCACGUGUAGCGGUGAAAUGCGUAGAUAUGUGGAAGAACACCAGUGGUGAAGACGGUUUUCUGGGCUAUUGCUGACGCUGAGGCGCGAAAGCUAGGGGAG
This 245-nucleotide ribosomal RNA is filed under the name uncultured bacterium. RNAcentral describes it as "partial 16S ribosomal RNA". It matches the Rfam family "Bacterial small subunit ribosomal RNA", at positions 524 to 768 of the family's 1533-position model. The record is from RNAcentral.